GAUGAACGCUGGCGGCGUGCCUAAUACAUGCAAGUCGAGCGAACAGAUAAGGAGCUUGCUCCUUUGACGUUAGCGGCGGACGGGUGAGUAACACGCGGGUAACCUACCUAUAAGACUGGGAUAACUUCGGGAAACCGGAGCUAAUACCGGAUAAUAUUUCGAACCGCAUGGUUCGAUAGUGAAAGAGGGUUUUGCUAUCACUUAUAGAUGGACCCGUGCCGUAUUAGCUAGUUGGUAAGGUAACGGCUUACCAAGGCGACGAUACGUAGCCGACCUGAGAGGAUGAUCGGCCACACUGGAACUGAGACACGGUCCAGACUCCUACGGGAGGCAGCAGUAGGGAAUCUUCCGCAAUGGGCGAAAGCCUGACGGAGCAACGCCGCGUGAGUGAUGAAGGUCUUCGGAUCGUAAAACUCUGUUAUUAGGGAAGAACAUACGUGUAAGUAACUGUGCACGUCUUGACGGUACCUAAUCAGAAAGCCACGGCUAACUACGUG
This 497-nucleotide ribosomal RNA is filed under the name uncultured bacterium. Its description in RNAcentral is "partial 16S ribosomal RNA". It matches the Rfam family "Bacterial small subunit ribosomal RNA", at positions 28 to 507 of the family's 1533-position model. The record is from RNAcentral.